GACGAACCGUGCAAACGUUGUUCGGAAUCACUGGGCUUAAAGGGCGCGUAGGCGGCUCGCCAAGUCGGGGGUGAAAUCUUUCGGCUCAACCGGAAAAGUGCCUUCGAUACUGGCGGGCUGGAGGGAGGUAGGGGCAUGUGGAACUUCCGGUGGAGCGGUGAAAUGCGUUGAUAUCGUUUGGAACGCCAAUGGUGAAAACAACUUGCUGGGGGUGUGCUGACGCUGAGACACGAAAGCCAGGGGAGCAAACGGG
Molecule: ribosomal RNA, 253 nt
Filed under: uncultured bacterium
Lineage: Bacteria
Description: partial 16S ribosomal RNA
Rfam family: Bacterial small subunit ribosomal RNA
Source: RNAcentral